RNAcentral lists this ribosomal RNA (664 nucleotides) under uncultured eukaryote. RNAcentral's name for it is "SSU rRNA". It matches the Rfam family "Eukaryotic small subunit ribosomal RNA", at positions 1050 to 1738 of the family's 1831-position model. The record is from RNAcentral.
CGAUUAGUCGGUGUUAAUAUACGACCCGACUAGCAGCUUCCGGGAAACCAAAGUUUUUCGUUUCCGGGGGAAGUAUGGCUGCAAAGCUGAAACUUAAAGGAAUUGACGGAAGGGCACCACCAGGAGUGGAGCCUGCGGCUUAAUUUGACUCAACACGGGAAGACUCACCCGGCCCGGACACCGUAAGGAUUGACAGAUUGAUAGCUCUUUCUUGAUUCGGUGGGUGGUGGUGCAUGGCCGUUCUUAGUUGGUGGAGCGAUUUGUCUGGUUAAUUCCGAUAACGAACGAGACUCUAGCCUGCUAAAUAGGCAGCUGAUCUAUUCGUCAGCUGUACCUCUUAGAGGGACAAGCAGCGUCUAGCUGCACGAGAUUGAGCAAUAACAGGUCUGUGAUGCCCUUAGAUGUUCGGGGCUGCACGCGCGCUACACUGAAGGAAUCAACAUGCUUCUCAACCUUGUCCGGAAGGACUAGGUAACCCGUUGAAACUCCUUCGUGAUUGGGAUAGGGAAUUGCAAUUAUUUCCCUUGAACGAGGAAUUCCCAGUAAGUGCGGGUCAUCAGCUCGCGCUGAUUACGUCCCUGCCCUUUGUACACACCGCCCGUCGCUACUACCGAUUGGAAGUAGACGAGAGAUCUCGGGACCGAUCCUUCGGCUGCCUUCCGGU